Molecule: ribosomal RNA, 301 nt
Filed under: uncultured bacterium
Lineage: Bacteria
Description: partial 16S ribosomal RNA
Rfam family: Bacterial small subunit ribosomal RNA
Source: RNAcentral
CAGCCGCCACGGGAAUACGUAGGUGGCAAGCGUUGUCCGGAAUUAUUGGGCGUAAAGGGCUCGCAGGCGGUUUCUUAAGUCUGAUGUGAAAGCCCCCGGCUCAACCGGGGAGGGUCAUUGGAAACUGGGAAACUUGAGUGCAGAAGAGGAGAGUGGAAUUCCACGUGUAGCGGUGAAAUGCGUAGAGAUGUGGAGGAACACCAGUGGCGAAGGCGACUCUCUGGUCUGUAACUGACGCUGAGGAGCGAAAGCGUGGGGAGCGAACAGGAUUAGAUACCCGAGUAGUCCCUGUCUCUUAUAC